ACAGUAUCAGCCAGCAUUUUGGUUCGUUCUCUUUGGAAUUCUGCCAUUGCUUUCACUUCAUCGCCACGGUUUUUCUUCAAUCCCUUCGGUCACGGCACUGAUUUGAUGUUUUUCUUUGUUCCAUCAUUGAAGGGUCCAAUGUCGGAAUCUGUUGUGUGGCCAAUACACACUAAUGUCAAGCAUUGAAUCGCCAAUACCAAUUAAUUACCAAAAAUGUGCAACUUGAUCUGCCUUCAUGUAUGGGUGUGGAAUCAAUAAAUUUGAAUUGUGAGAUUGGGUGGAGGUAAGGGAUCUCUCUCUCUCCCUCUCUUAAUUCUUAUUGUUCUUUUCAAUCGCAAGAAAUCCUUAUUUUGCAUACAGAUCUGUUAAUUUCGUUUGUGAGGUCAAAAUUAGAUUCUGAGAUGUGAAAAAGUGUUCUCCCUCUUCUCCUUGGAUCCAUUAAUGGGGGGAGAAUUUCUUCUACAUCGCCCUUUACAAUUUAUAUUAUUACGAAGUCAUCAUUAUUGUUGUUAUAUUUAAAAUGAUAGUUAACAAGUCUGUCAAAGUCCCAUAACUUUAGAGGGGGAAAUUAAUCAAAUUCUUACAAACCUCUAAAUUGGCAUUAUUGACACUAUAAAAAUUGAGAUAUAAUAUUUGGAGAAUA
This is a long non-coding RNA of Cucurbita pepo subsp. pepo (vegetable marrow), 643 nucleotides long. RefSeq lists it as uncharacterized. The record is from RefSeq and is a predicted model, not a curated record. NCBI's taxonomy places the organism in Eukaryota, Viridiplantae, Streptophyta, Magnoliopsida, Cucurbitales, Cucurbitaceae.